AGGUUUCCUAGGUGACCUGCGGAAGGAUCAUUAUUGAAUGAAAC
RNAcentral lists this ribosomal RNA (44 nucleotides) under Amanita sp. NC-2-7294/1. RNAcentral's name for it is "partial 18S ribosomal RNA". Lineage: Eukaryota; Fungi; Basidiomycota; Agaricomycetes; Agaricales; Amanitaceae. The record is from RNAcentral.